Molecule: ribosomal RNA, 497 nt
Filed under: uncultured bacterium
Lineage: Bacteria
Description: partial 16S ribosomal RNA
Rfam family: Bacterial small subunit ribosomal RNA
Source: RNAcentral
GAUGAACGCUGGCGGCGUGCCUAAUACAUGCAAGUCGAGCGAACAGAUGAUGAGCUUGCUCCUCUGACGUUAGCGGCGGACGGGUGAGUAACACGUGUAUAACCUACCUAUAAGACUGGGAUAACUUCGGGAAACCGGAGCUAAUACCGGAGAAGAUAUUGAACCGCAUGGUGCAAUAGUGAAAGACGGUUUUGCGGUCUCUUAUAGAUGGAUCCGCGCCGCAUUAGAUAGUUGGUAAGGUAACGGCUUACCAAGGCAACGAUGCGUAGCCGACGUGAGAGGGUGAUAGGCCACACUGGAACUGAGACAGGGACAAGACUACUACGGGAGGCAGCAGUAGGGAAUCGUAGGCAAUGGGGGAAAGCAUGACGGAGCAACGCGGAGUGAGUGAUGAAGGUCUUCGGAUCGUAAAACUCUGUUAUUGGGGAAGAACAAAUGUGUAAGUAAAUAUGCACGUAUUGACGGUACCUAAUCAGAAAGCAACGGCUAACUACGUG